CAGCACCUCAAGUGGUCAGGAUGAUUAUUGGGCCUAAAGCAUCCGUAGCCUGUUCUGUAAGUUUCCGGUUAAAUCCAUUAGCUCAACUAAUGGGCUGCCGAAAAUACUGCAGAACUAGGGAGUGGGAGAGGUAGACGGUACUCGGUAGGAAGGGGUAAAAUCCUUUGAUCUAUUGAUGACCACCUGUGGCGAAGGCGGUCUACCAGAACACGUCCGACGGUGAGGGAUGAAAGCUGGGGGAGCAAACCGGAUUAGAUACCCGAGUAGUCC
This 270-nucleotide ribosomal RNA is filed under the name uncultured archaeon. RNAcentral describes it as "partial 16S ribosomal RNA". It matches the Rfam family "Archaeal small subunit ribosomal RNA", at positions 477 to 747 of the family's 1478-position model. The record is from RNAcentral.